RNAcentral lists this unclassified non-coding RNA (1074 nucleotides) under Hevea brasiliensis (rubber tree). The record is from RNAcentral. Lineage: Eukaryota; Viridiplantae; Streptophyta; Magnoliopsida; Malpighiales; Euphorbiaceae.
GGAUUCCAUGGCGCAUAGCCUCUUCACCUCAAUCACAGCUCUCGGACUUCUCAUCACCGGCUUCGAAGCAGCUCAAGGACUUGAUAUUGGUGUCAACUAUGGAAUGUUGGGUGACAACCUCCCCCCACCGGACAAAGUUGUAGCGCUCUACAAAUCCAUCAACAUAACCAAACUUCGCCUCUUCAAUCCUGACCACACUGCCCUCAAAGCCCUCCAAGGCUCUGGCAUCGACGUAGUCCUCGGAACGUUCAACCAGGACCUCCACCAACUCGCCACCGACCCCUCCUACGCCGCCAGUUGGGUCGCCACCAACAUCGCCCCCUAUGCCAGUACAAUCAACUUCCGAUACAUAACCGCCGGCAACGAGGUAAUUCCAGGAGAUCUAGCGGCCAGUGUCCUCCCAGCCAUGCAGAACCUCGACAAAGCUCUCAAGGCCGUCAACAUUACCGCCCCUGUCACCACCGCCGUUGCUACUGCAGUGCUCGGGACUUCGUAUCCUCCCUCUCAGGGCGCUUUCUCCCAGGAAGCUACAUCAGUCAUGGCGCCAAUUGUUAAUUUCUUGUCGGCCAAGAAAAUACCCCUCCUUGUCAAUGUGUACCCUUACUUUGCCUACUCAGGUGAUCCGAACAGCGUCCGGCUCGAUUAUGCUCUCUUCGAGGCCGAGAAAGUCGUGGUCCAGGACGGCUCGCUGGGAUACACGAACCUCUUUGACGCCAUUGUCGACGGAGUUUACUCAGCUUUAGAGAAAGUUGGGGGAGACAGUGUGGAGGUGGUUGUUUCUGAGACUGGCUGGCCGUCUGGUGGUGGUGCGACGGGAGCAACGGUGGAGAAUGCUCGGAAGUAUAACAACAAUGUGGUUUUACAUGUGGGGACCGGCAGUGGGACACCUAAGAGGCCGGGAAAAGUGACAGAGACUUACUUGUUUGCAAUGUUCAAUGAAGAUUUGAAGCCUGCUGGGACUGAGCAGAAUUUUGGGCUCUAUCAUCCUGAUAUGAGUCAAGUUUAUCCCGUUGAUUUUAAUUAUUAGGUGAUGAUAUAUGUGGUUUUAUUUUAUAAUUAAUGAGUAGAUUUUAG